UACGAAGGGGGCUAGCGUUGUUCGGAUUUACUGGGCGUAAAGCGCGUGUAGGCGGGCCUGUAAGUUGGGGGUGAAAUCCCGAGGCUCAACCUCGGAACUGCCUCCAAAACUACAGGCCUGGACCCAAGGAGAGGCGAGUGGAAUUCCGAGUGUAGAGGUGAAAUUCGUAGAUAUUCGGAGGAACACCAGUGGCGAAGGCGACUCGCUGGACUUGUGGUGACGCUGAGACGCGAAAGCGUGGGGAGCAAACAGG
Molecule: ribosomal RNA, 253 nt
Filed under: uncultured bacterium
Lineage: Bacteria
Description: partial 16S ribosomal RNA
Rfam family: Bacterial small subunit ribosomal RNA
Source: RNAcentral